Molecule: long non-coding RNA, 423 nt
Organism: Suricata suricatta (meerkat)
Lineage: Eukaryota; Metazoa; Chordata; Mammalia; Carnivora; Herpestidae
Exons: 3
Source: RefSeq, a predicted model, not a curated record
UGCCAUUCAGUCACAUUAACAAGGCUCUACUCUAUUCUGCUGUAGCAUCAGACACAUAACUGUAAGAGGCUUUCCUAUCCAUGCAGGAUUUUACAGUGGAUUGACAUCACCUGAUGUCACCAUCUUGCCCAUCAUAUGAUACCAUCUUGUUCCUUAUGACAACAUAAAAGAUCUCCUAUGAUCUACUAGUCACUAGCCAGACACUGCACCACAUUUUAUAGACACGUGGUCUGAAGUUACCUGUGUUCACGUGGCUCUUUGGACAUCAGUCCAGAAGAUCAAGCAACUAGUGACAAUACCAAAGUGGACAGCUUGGCAAUGAGAAUCUACCCUAUACCGGGUCUUGUGUCUCCCUCGUAUCCCCCUUUUCCCUUAGUCCCUCUUCCCUGGGGUUGUACUCUCUAAUAAAAUACUACACAUGAA